This 501-nucleotide ribosomal RNA is filed under the name uncultured bacterium. Its description in RNAcentral is "partial 16S ribosomal RNA". It matches the Rfam family "Bacterial small subunit ribosomal RNA", at positions 28 to 507 of the family's 1533-position model. The record is from RNAcentral.
GGCGAACGCUGGCGGCGUGCCUAAUACAUGCAAGUCGAGCGGACCGGCUUGGGGCUUGCCUUGAUUCCGUCAGCGGCGGACGGGUGAGUAACACGUGGGCAACCUGCCCGCAAGACCGGGAUAACUCCGGGAAACCGGAGCUAAUACCGGAUAACACCGUAGACCGCAUGGUCUUCGGUUGAAAGGCGGCCUUUGGGCUGUCACUUGCGGAUGUGACCGCGGCGCAUUGGCUAGUUGGUGAGGUAACGGCUCACCAAGGCGACGAUGGGGAGCCUGCCUGGGAAGGGGGCCGGCCGCACUGGGACUGGGAACCGGCCCAGACGCCUUGGGGAGGCAGCAAGAGGGGAACUUGCGGAAGGGGGGAAAGCCUGGAGGGACGAAGCCGCGGAAGGGAAGAAGGGCGUCGGGUCGGAAAGAUCUGUUGUGAGGGACGAAAGAGCGUCGUUCGAAGAGGGCGGCGCGGUGACGGUACCUAACGAGAAAGCCCCGGCUAACUACGUG